UGCGCAGUUUGCCUGGCGGACAUGACACUUGUAAUGUUGGUUUGGAUUUAUACUUCUAAUACCAUUGUGUUUAUAACAAUUUAACAGUGAAUGUGUAAUACAUCGAAUGUUUAGGUGGCUUGGAAGACCUACGUGAUAUAUACUUUACUUAGCAGAUUAUGUGCUGGUACUGAAGAUUCUUAAUUCAUACAAUGUGUGAUAAAAGAUUCCAUAUUGCAGCUGCACAGCUUCAACGUAAGACUAUCAUAUCUAAAAGAGCUCUUAAGGUAUAAAGGUAUUUUCAAAAUGGGAAGAGAGAAAAAGACAAAGUAUCGAUUUCGCAAACACAUCAGAUAUGACGAUAUACGUGAUGCUAUUAAGAAGUUAAAUAUUCAGACAUUCACAAAAUCGUGGAGGGACGAACAGUCAGAAUAUGGGUUGAUAUGCAAUGCCAUUGGCCGAAAAAACAGUACAGAAAACAGGUUACGGAUACGAGCCCUGAUGAGAAACGAACCAAAACUUGAACUUGAAAAGACGGAGUGGCACAAUAUUAAAUUGAAGACUGAUGCAUAUGCAGAGAAUGAUCACAUCGAAAACACUAAACAAGUACCAAUAAUUGAUGAAUUGACAGGUAAAUCAAGUGUUGGAUACAAGUAUUUGUUUGAUUUGCAAUUUUGAACUUUCACGAAUGAACCUGAUAGUUUGUACUGCCUUUAUUUUUUGAUCUGAGAAAGGAAAGUCGGAUUUUCCAGAAUGAUGAUUUAUGAAUGGAUAUUUGUGGAAGCUAUAAGCAUGAAGGUAGCACAAUAC
Long non-coding RNA from Mytilus californianus (California mussel), 789 nucleotides. RefSeq lists it as uncharacterized. The transcript has 3 exons. The record is from RefSeq and is a predicted model, not a curated record. Lineage: Eukaryota; Metazoa; Mollusca; Bivalvia; Mytilida; Mytilidae.